GUUGCAAUAUGGCCUGGUGUACAUAACGCUUCUCUGAUGUUUUAAGUAUAAAAGUAUCACAAAAGAAUAGAACAAUUAUAGAAGAUACGAACUGAGACUAAGAUGGCGAAAAUUACGUUUGCUCUUUUAAUGGUGAUAAUGAUGCUAGGCAUCAUUUCUGACGAAACAUUAGCUAAACCUGGUAUCCACUUCACUUACGAGAAACAUGUCCACCAUGGUCCCAGUGCUCCAUCACCGCCAUCGGGUGGUGGGCGUGGAGGUGGACGUCGCGGUGGUGGACGUUGGAAGAAACGGCAUAUCGUAGAAAACGUAGAUGAUUUGGAGGAGUUCGAACGAUUUGUAAAUGAAGGAAUGGAAGAUCUUAAAGAACAAAAUUAACAUGUACGUGUACUUCAAAAACAGUACCGUUGAAUGUGUAAAUGAAGGUGAAUAAAACAAAAUAAUGCAGAUA
Long non-coding RNA from Patella vulgata (common limpet), 451 nucleotides. RefSeq lists it as uncharacterized. The transcript has 3 exons. The record is from RefSeq and is a predicted model, not a curated record. Lineage: Eukaryota; Metazoa; Mollusca; Gastropoda; Patellidae.